RNAcentral lists this ribosomal RNA (322 nucleotides) under uncultured eukaryote. RNAcentral's name for it is "partial 18S ribosomal RNA". It matches the Rfam family "Eukaryotic small subunit ribosomal RNA", at positions 1470 to 1796 of the family's 1831-position model. The record is from RNAcentral.
CCCUUAGAUGUUCUGGGCCACACGCGUGCUACACUGAGUGGAUCAGCGGGUCAGGUUGCGCGAAAGCGUUUCCUAAUCUUUAAAUCCGCUCGUGAUGGGGAUUGACGGUUGCAAUUUUCUGUCAUGAACGAGGAAUACCUUGUAAGCGCGGGUCAUCAUCCCGCGCUGAAUACGUCCCUGCCCUUUGUACACACCGCCCGUCGCUCCUACCGAUUGAGUGGUCCGGUGAGGCUUUGGGAUCUGAGCGGAAAGAGCGUUUCGCUGUUUCUGCUCGGAAAACUCAGUCGAACCUUAUCAUUUAGAGGAAGGAGAAGUCGUAACA